This 254-nucleotide ribosomal RNA is filed under the name uncultured bacterium. Its description in RNAcentral is "partial 16S ribosomal RNA". It matches the Rfam family "Bacterial small subunit ribosomal RNA", at positions 524 to 776 of the family's 1533-position model. The record is from RNAcentral.
UACGUAGGGUGCAAGCGUUGUCCGGAAUUAUUGGGCGUAAAGAGCUCGUAGGCGGUGUGUCGCGUCGGCCGUGAAAACCUGCAGCUUAACUGUGGGCUUGCGGUCGAUACGGGCACCACUGGAGUUCGGCAGGGGAGACUGGGAUUCCUGGUGUAGCGGUGAAAUGCGCAGAUAUCAGGAGGAACACCGGUGGCGAAGGCGGGUCUCUGGGCCGAUACUGACGCUGAGGAGCGAAAGCGUGGGGAGCGAACAGG